This 772-nucleotide unclassified non-coding RNA is filed under the name Hevea brasiliensis (rubber tree). The record is from RNAcentral. Lineage: Eukaryota; Viridiplantae; Streptophyta; Magnoliopsida; Malpighiales; Euphorbiaceae.
GUAGAGAGAGAAUUUUCUUUUCAUUUUGGAGUGGGUCGGCAUCUCUCGAUCUAGCCGAGUUCUCCAUCAGUUCUCAUUUGCUUCCUCUGCCUACGGGCAGGGGAAGGCAUUGCUUCGUUUUUGUCUCAUCUCAGUGUUUGUUUGCUCUCCGGUGUUGGAAUUAGAACUAUAUAUGCUUUGCUUGGUGUGUUUUUGCAGAUCCGGGUUUCAUGAGAGAGGAGCUUUUUACAGAUCUGCAUAGGAACUUUGUUUUUCUUUAGAGCAGAACCACUAGUUGAGAUCGGUGGUCAUCAUCUUCUGGAGGGUACAUGCAUGCUUGGUGAUAGAUAACUUGGGGUUGUUAAGCUUGCUCGGUUAGGUGGCUGUUUGCUCGUCUCCCCAAGGCUAUACGAGAUUGAGAUGCCAUGAGCUCUAUCAUCUCCCCCUCCUAUGACUGCUGAUGGUGGUGGCAGUCUCUCCAAUAGUCUAGCACCUAGUUAGUUUGAUGUCCAAGGUAAUACUUUUGGUCAGCAUGUGUUUCCUGCUUGCUGAUGUAGUAUCAUGGUGUGGGCCUGCUAGUUCAUUUCAUCUUCGUUAACAAAAAAGAAUACUGGCUCUGUAUGGGUCCCAUCUCCGACAGUAGCCUUGAGCGGCGGCUCUGUAUAAAGUCUGGUGUUUUGCUUGAGCAGGACUCCUAGGGUUUGUUUUCUGGGCUAGGUUUAAUAUUGUGGGUUUAGCCAAUAGAGCUUUGGGUUUUUGCUGGGCUUGGUUUUUUAUCUUGUUCUCCUUGUUA